Long non-coding RNA from Passer domesticus (house sparrow), 510 nucleotides. RefSeq lists it as uncharacterized. The record is from RefSeq and is a predicted model, not a curated record. Lineage: Eukaryota; Metazoa; Chordata; Aves; Passeriformes; Passeridae. The transcript has 3 exons.
GGUUUAUUUUCUUAAGCCAGCUGUUUAAAUAGUUAGUCAUCCAAAGUUAGUCACUCCAGCCUCCCUCUGUGCAGCCACAGGGGGAAAUGUGCACCUCCAAAGGCCAAAGACCCUAAGAGUAAGAUCAGAGGAACCUGAGACGAUUUAAAGGAUCACUCUUUGGACUUGAAUAUUUGGAAGAAUUUUCAAGGCAAUCCUGCCAUGGUUUAUGAAGUCAUCUUCAGGCAAGAGCACUGAGGGAGUACUGGAAGAGCCCCUGCAGGACAACAUGGAACUCAGAUGCUGCUGGACCCAAACAAACCACACAGCAGGAAAGCAGCUCCAUGUGAAAUAAAGGCUUAAGAUUACGGCAGGCAAGCUACUGUAACAUAGCUCACAUUAGAAAUGCAUGCAUGUCAAUUUAUGGAGUUUUAAAGACCAAGACACAUAUUUUUUUCAUUUAUUUUAGACCUUGAUACUGCAUUUAUGACAACUGUGCAUGAUAUAUCUAUCUGUGAGGACUACUAUUCA